CUCUUGUGAUGACAUUAUUCAGUUCUGCUUCCGAAUGAGCUCAAGGCUCUUGUAGAUAACUGAAAAUACCAAAAACCUUCUGAUUC
Small nucleolar RNA from Sistotremastrum suecicum HHB10207 ss-3, 86 nucleotides. NCBI's taxonomy places the organism in Eukaryota, Fungi, Basidiomycota, Agaricomycetes, Sistotremastrales, Sistotremastraceae. The record is from Rfam.